CAAAAAUGCAUCAAAUCUUUGUCAUUGAGAUAACCUUGUUCCCAGCGAUAUCAGUGCAAGAAUAACGAUUUUGAUCAAAAUCCACGUGGUCGUCAAAAAUAGAUCAAAUUCAUGUUUUGGUCAAUGAGAUUAUGCUCUUGGUCAUUUUCCCAACGAUCUUGGUGGAUAAAUAACGAUUUUGACAUGUUUUGAUCAAAAUCCACGUGAAUGAAAUUCGAUAAGAUAUCGCGCCUCUUGAAUGUGCUAUAAAAGCGGAGCCUUUGCGUCCUGAAAUAUAUACCGAAUUCAAAAUGCUUAAAAUACUGAUCCUGACUGCUUUACUAGUUGUAUUCGUUGGCUUGGUAGAAGGCUGCAACUACCAAAACUGUGUUUGCGCUGGCACCUGUAGCUCAGGCAAAAUAUAUUGUGGCAGCUGUUCUGGGAGGUUGAAAAAGUGCUGCGACAGUUAAUAAGAAGCCUAGGGAUAUUGAAAGAAGCACCGUCUUCCGUACAAGAUGCGGUUGUAUUAAUUAUACAUUUUGAAUGUAAAAUAUUAAAUAGAUCAUACAUGAAAA
Photinus pyralis (common eastern firefly) is the source of this 554-nucleotide long non-coding RNA. RefSeq lists it as uncharacterized. The transcript is spliced from 2 exons. Lineage: Eukaryota; Metazoa; Arthropoda; Insecta; Coleoptera; Lampyridae. The record is from RefSeq and is a predicted model, not a curated record.